Molecule: ribosomal RNA, 534 nt
Filed under: uncultured bacterium
Lineage: Bacteria
Description: bacterial SSU rRNA
Rfam family: Bacterial small subunit ribosomal RNA
Source: RNAcentral
ACGGGAGGCAGCAGUGGGGAAUUUUGGACAAUGGGCGCAAGCCUGAUCCAGCCAUGCCGCGUGAGUGAAGAAGGCCUUCGGGUUGUAAAGCUCUUUCAGGUGGAAAGAAAACGCAUAGGUUAAUACCUUGUGUGGAUGACGGUACCAUCAGAAGAAGCACCGGCUAACUACGUGCCAGCAGCCGCGGUAAUACGUAGGGUGCGAGCGUUAAUCGGAAUUACUGGGCGUAAAGCGUGCGCAGGCGGUGAUGUAAGACAGAUGUGAAAUCCCCGGGCUCAACCUGGGAACUGCGUUUGUGACUGCAUCACUCGAGUACGGCAGAGGGAGGUGGAAUUCCGCGUGUAGCAGUGAAAUGCGUAGAUAUGCGGAGGAACACCGAUGGCGAAGGCAGCCUCCUGGGCCAGUACUGACGCUCAUGCACGAAAGCGUGGGGAGCAAACAGGAUUAGAUACCCUGGUAGUCCACGCCCUAAACGAUGUCAACUAGUUGUUCGGUGAGGAGACUCAUUGAGUAACGCAGCUAACGCGUAAGUGA